UUCGAUAUUGAUUUAUAUUUUAGUUUGAAAUAAACAUUUUUUUGGUAAUAUUAACAUUUUUAAAAAUAGUAAACUUAAAUAAUAAUUUGUCAUACUACGAUUGGUCGUUUAAAUCCUACGUGGACGCUCUCGAUGGCUUAUAGCCUCAACUUUUAUAUAGUAUAGAUUGAUUACACAAUAAAUGUUACUCUCCAAAAAUGAUUCUCUAUUAAUAAGAAAAGGAUAUUAUAGUGCUUAUAACAGUCUUGCUAUUUGUAUAACAACGCUUGAUUUUUUUUUUAGCGUUUGUCAAUUUAAAAACGUUAUGUCGGGAAAAUAAAGAAAUUUAGCUGCUUAAUUUGUUACAAUAAGGUAUGUUCUCGUUCAAUCGUUCUUCUUUGUUCUAUCUCAUUGAGAAAAAAAUAACAAUUAUCUCUUGAUCAUUCACUCUCUCUCUCUCUCUCUGGCUCCAAAAUCAAUAUCGAAACACUCGGUUGACUCAAUGACAAUAGCCGGCAGCCGCAACGAGUUGUCGAAUCAAAUGGAGGUGGGGUUAGAUUCGUUUCAGAGACAAGUCGCGGAAAGGUUUAUCGAUCUAACUGCAGGAGAAUGAUAAUGAGAAUCCAAGCACGGCUGCUUCAAGCGCUUAAGCGAUGGAAUUGGAGAAGCCGAAGGCAAAGCAGAACAAGGAAGGAAUUAGUUACAUCAACAGCCGCGAAGCCAUGGACUCAUCAGCUCGUCUCUAGCAUCCUUCGCUCCUUACCCAGAUUCUUCUUCAAUUCCCCACUUUCCAUCGGUCGGCAAAAGGGUUUUCGUCACCGGUCACUUUAAAGCAGAGAAACCUCCGUGAAGAAUCAGUCCGACAAAGAAAGCUUCACCUUUUUCUUCAUGAUUAUGUUGCACAGUAGCCGAGUAUGUCUGAUUCUGUUUUUCGUUCUAAUGAGGGUAGUGAAAUUGAAUUGUACAUCAAGAUUGGUCUGAUGAGAAUGAUGUCAAGACGCUGUAUUAUAAUGUAUUGAAGCAUCAGGAAAGGAAGUGUCUUCACAAAACAACGAGGAGGCGAAGACAGCGAUGAUGUUGAGAAGGAGAUUUCUAGGCAAGCUUCCAAAACCAAGUCUGUUAAGGAAGUACGUUUCCCAAUCUCACUCGGUUUCUUAGUUUUAGAUUCUGCUAAGUAGUUAAAAGGUGUUGUGUUGAAUUAGACUGAGGAGCAUCAUAACAAGGCGAGAGUCGUUGUCUUAGUUUAGAUCAGUCCUUGUCAAAUGUUCUGAAUGACAAAUGCUUUUUGUUUCUUAUGGUCUUGUUUUCUUUGAGGUCUUGAAGGGUAUUGUAAGAAAUGGAUAACAUCAGUGGAUUGCCUAAUGAACUGUUGGUGAGGGUACUAUCGUUAGUUCCAACAUUCACUGUUUGUACUUAUGGAUUUUAUCGACAAGAACCUGCCAUUACAUAGAGCUCCUGUCAUAGAAAACUUGUGUCUUUCUUUAUGGGAGUCAAGGGUGGGUUCAGAUUGCUGUAUAUCGCUAUCUACGUAAGCUGGACGUUUCUUAUUCUUUGGUUAAGAAAGAAAACAUGGUUCCCAACAGCUUGUUUACUUGCAAAACGCUUGUGAUCUUGAAACCUUGAACCAAUACAUGUCUUUUCAUUUGUAUAACAUAAUUCUACUUUCAUAUAUUUUUGUGAUCAGAUUGUUUUGAAUAUUGAGUGAGUGAUUUGGUUUCGUUGCGGACCGGUUCUAGAUUGUCAGUACCUGAUUUUUUUUCUAUGAUAUAAUAUUUGGCAAUUAAAUA
Long non-coding RNA from Brassica napus (rape), 1766 nucleotides. RefSeq lists it as uncharacterized. Lineage: Eukaryota; Viridiplantae; Streptophyta; Magnoliopsida; Brassicales; Brassicaceae. The transcript is spliced from 2 exons. The record is from RefSeq and is a predicted model, not a curated record.